This 243-nucleotide long non-coding RNA is filed under the name Nicotiana benthamiana. Its description in RNAcentral is "long non-coding RNA (NBEN_LNC014400)". The record is from RNAcentral. Lineage: Eukaryota; Viridiplantae; Streptophyta; Magnoliopsida; Solanales; Solanaceae.
AGGUCACCAACCACAAUCUUCUUCAAAUUGGUAGGUCACCAACCACAGCAUUUGUUCAAAUUGGUAGGUCACCAACCCCACCAACCAUGUCUUUUUCACCACAUUCUUUGCCUAUAUAAAGGCCAUUCGGGAGCAAGCUAAAAUACAUCAACACAAAAACAAUUCUUUUGUGUGUUAUAUUCGAUAGAGAAUUUUGAGAGUUACUCACAAUUUGGUGAGUGGUAGUUAGUGUCCAAAAAUUAG